Molecule: ribosomal RNA, 934 nt
Filed under: bacterium enrichment culture clone PAH16-P1
Lineage: Bacteria
Description: bacterial SSU rRNA
Rfam family: Bacterial small subunit ribosomal RNA
Source: RNAcentral
UAUGCUUAACACAUGCAAGUCGAACGGCAGCACGAGAGAGCUUGCUCUCUUGGUGGCGAGUGGCGGACGGGUGAGUAACGCGUAAGAAUCUGCCUAGUAGUGGGGGAUAACUCGGGGAAACUCGAGCUAAUACCGCAUACGCCCUACGGGGGAAAGUGGGGGACCUUCGGGCCUCACGCUAUUAGAUGAGCUUGCGUUGGAUUAGCUAGUUGGUGAGGUAAUGGCUCACCAAGGCGACGAUCCAUAGCUGGUCUGAGAGGACGAUCAGCCACACUGGGACUGAGACACGGCCCAGACUCCUACGGGAGGCAGCAGUGGGGAAUAUUGGACAAUGGGCGCAAGCCUGAUCCAGCAAUACCGCGUGUGUGAAGAAGGCCUGCGGGUUGUAAAGCACUUUCAAUUGUGAAGAAAAGCUUGGGGUUAAUAGCCCCGAGUCUUGACGUUAACUUUAGAAGAAGCACCGGCUAACUCUGUGCCAGCAGCCGCGGUAAUACAGAGGGUGCGAGCGUUAAUCGGAAUUACUGGGCGUAAAGCGUGCGUAGGCGGUUUAGUAAGUCAGAUGUGAAAGCCCUGGGCUUAACCUGGGAACUGCAUUUGAAACUGCUGAACUAGAGUGUGGUAGAGGGAAGUGGAAUUCCGGGUGUAGCGGUGAAAUGCGUAGAUAUCCGGAGGAACACCAGUGGCGAAGGCGACUUCCUGGACCAACACUGGCGCUGAGGUACGAAAGCGUGGGUAGCAAACAGGAUUAGAUACCCUGGUAGUCCACGCCGUAAACGAUGUCAACUAGUUGUUGGGAGCAUUCUGGCUUUUAGUAACGUAGCUAACGCGAUAAGUUGACCGCCUGGGGAGUACGGCCGCAAGGUUAAAACUCAAAGGAAUUGACGGGGGCCCGCACAAGCGGUGGAGCAUGUGGUUUAAUUCGAUGCAACGCGAA